UCCCUCAUCUCCCCAUAAACGGCACCCAUAUCCCUUCUCCACCCCUGCCGUGCCCAACUCACCCCAAACUCGCCUGUAACUCAGGCAAGUUCACCCCAAACCCGCCUCACGUGCUCACUCCUCUCUCCUCUUGCCACGUAGUGUACUAUCUCUGACAAAUGGAAUUAUUCCUUCUGGAUUUUGUAGGUUUAGAUUCCUUGGUGAGCGAUUUUGAGAUGAAUGGGAGCCAUGGAUUGAUGGUCAAUCGAUCCACACACUCCAUUUGUCCCAAAAAUCGUUUACACAAAGGGAUUCGAGGCUUUCUUUUUGGAUUCGGGGCAGAAGGUUUGAGAAUUUGGAAAAGGUUAUUUAGGUGAGGAUUUUUCCUUUUUGAGGGGGGAUUUUUCGGGCAAAUUUUUGGUUUUCAGAGAAUUUUCGGGUAAAAAUCCUAGAACAAAUUUCAGAGGUCUUUAGGAGAAAGAAAAAAGAAAGUAGGAUCUGGUUUUGGUUACCUUUUGAUUUUUGCUUUCUUCAUAUAUUUUUUCAUUUGAAGUUUCACAGAAAGAUAAAAGAAAUACAUAUUCAGUGCUGCUUUCUUCUUUGUUUUUCUUUUGCUUCUUCUCAAAAAUCAUAAUUUUUUUUUAAAAUAACUCGUUACUUCUUUGGAUUUCUAUUCGAAAUGUUGAAGCCGAGUGGUAGUUCGAACUUUGAUUGAGUCGGUGUUGAUUCGAGUCUGUCGCGCUUGCUAUUAAGGCUCAGAUUUCAGUAUUUAAUUUUCCUUUCAAGAUCGUUGCUUAGCUUUCUACUAUUUAUAUCACAUUCGAACUUCAAAGGAUAACCGAAAUUCAAUUUUUAGGUUCAUAUCUUAUCCUACUGCUUUCAUGUGGAUCUAAAUGAUAAAUGUUAUGUCAAUCUAAUUAGAUAAUAUUUGAGAUUUGAUUUGAAUGAGCCAAUUGAAAUCGAUUUGAAUGAUUUAUCUUUCAUGCUUUGGAUGUUCUAGUUUGCAUUAUAUGUUGGAGUAUCUCUUAAGUUUAGAUUUUCUUAGUUUAGUAUAUGAUUGAUUAAUACUUGGUUGAUUUGUGAUUGUUAAAUGAGCAUGAACCUGUGACGUUUAUACUUAUGAUGCUUGUUUUCUGAAUUCUAAUUACGUGUUCUUGUGAAAUCUUCCUCAUUUGCUACAAACUUGUAAACUAGAAUUGGCCUAUUAACCUGAACAGCUGGUUUCGAGAGUUUUGUUAAUCAAAGACUUCCUGGUUAUUUUGUUUAAGGAACAGUUACUUCAUAAACGAGUUUCUUGUGUGUUUUCUGCUGUCUAUGACAUGUUCUGAUGUUCAAAGUAGUCUGCUCGUUCCAAUUGCUUAGUAUCUACAUAUUCGACUUGAAUUGGUUAGUCGCAUGACUGACAAACGAUCCAUGGAUCACUAAAGUACCCUGUUUUCUUGUUUUUUCUCAAGUUUCAUUACCAUUUUUACGUGUUUUUCAGGUUUAAAGUUGCUGAAAUUCUCCCUGAUAGUGUUUGCCCCCUUGUAGAUUAUUAUGUUUGAGAGGAUCAACGGGUGUCAUGUUUCUAACAGUCAUUUCUGUCACUGAACUUCUUAAAAUAGAAUUUAAUAUGAAACUUGUGUAGUAGUAUUUCUUUGUUCUUUGAAAUCAGUUUGUAUUUGCUAGUCGAGCUUGUUUAAGUUUUGGUAUGAAAAUGUUCAAAAAUCUCCUUCACUUUCUCCUAAAUGGUUUAAGCAUCAUAGUCCAUACUUAAUCUUUCAUUGUCACAGUACCCACAUUCAUAGUAAAAUCAUGUUGAAAACGUUGGGUCAUGUGGGAUUUUGGAGUUUCUAGCAUCAUGCGAGCUAUGUGCCUUUUGUCCAUUCUGAUAAGCACUGCAC
RNAcentral lists this long non-coding RNA (1862 nucleotides) under Nicotiana tabacum (common tobacco). RNAcentral describes it as "long non-coding RNA (NTAB_LNC014782)". Lineage: Eukaryota; Viridiplantae; Streptophyta; Magnoliopsida; Solanales; Solanaceae. The record is from RNAcentral.